UUUUUUUUUGAUGCUACCAGAUACUUUAUUUUUUUUCACCAAAAAUGGUAGUGUUCUGUAAUCAACAACCAUCAAGAUCUUAGUUAAACCUAUUUACACUUUAAUGUGCUUCUCAAUAUUACUACUUCUAGGCCAGGAAGUAUAGCAUGAAAGUGAAAUCUUAACAGCAAUGGUAAAAGUAGAUUAAAUAUAGAAAUGUUUUUCUUUUCUCUGUUAUGAUGAAGAAUGGAAAUUGGUAUCAGCAGAUCUGAGAGCAGUAAGGGAAGGAGAAUCUGUUACAGGUUUCUCUACUUGUACGUGCUAUAUUUUUGUGUUUUCACACUGUCUUACCUCUAUAGCUGUAUAGGUGUCCAAAUUUUUCUUUUUGAUAAGGACAUCAAUCAUACUGGAUUAGGGGCUCAUCCUAUUCCAGUAUGACUUUGUCUUAACUAAUAGCAUCCCACAAAGACCCUAUUCCCAAUUAAGAUUAUCUUCUGAGGUACUGGGUGCUAAAAACUCAACAUAUGAAGUUUGAGGGGGGCAUAAUUUAACCCAUAACACUUAAGUGAGCCUAUCAUCAAUCUUGGCUUGCCCGAUGGUCCUUUGUCUCUUCUAGGCAUCAAGAUUAGGGAUUAAAAAACCUUUCUGAAAAAUAAGCACUUCACAC
This 646-nucleotide long non-coding RNA is filed under the name Marmota monax (woodchuck). The record is from RNAcentral. Lineage: Eukaryota; Metazoa; Chordata; Mammalia; Rodentia; Sciuridae.